Etheostoma cragini (Arkansas darter) is the source of this 1208-nucleotide long non-coding RNA. RefSeq lists it as uncharacterized. The transcript has 2 exons. The record is from RefSeq and is a predicted model, not a curated record. Lineage: Eukaryota; Metazoa; Chordata; Actinopteri; Perciformes; Percidae.
GCUAUUUUACAGCAGCUUAAUUAUUGUUUCCGGUGCUUAGUGCCGCCCAAGAUGAUUGUGAUUGGUUUAAAAAUGCAAAUUAAAAAGAGCACAUUUUCUCCUAUGCCAGAGUCCUGUGUGGACAGUGCUGUACAGGAAGGUUUGGCAAAGUGAGACUACUGUAUCUUCUAAUCUUAGUCCGCGCCCAAAAGCUGCUGGUAAAAGCAAAAACGCUACCCAGCUGGAACACAACCUGGGGAAUAAAGUGAUACAUGACACACCCAGACAUUAUCUUGUGGGCAGACGCCUUAUAUUGGUGAAAAGUGAUCCUGAUCAAUUAGAAUAACACCCUGUAGAAUGUCCUAUAAUACUGCAGAGAACCACCGUGACCUGGUCUCCAACACCAACCCGGACCAGCAGAGAUGGGUCCAAGAGAGAGCCAAGAAGACAGACAGUCCCUACGUCCGGCUGGGACUGCCCUACUCCUGCACCUUGCAGUUGUGGUUCUGGGUCAGUGACGAGUUGAACUGCUAUAAGAACUGGGACUUGCAUAAGACGGAUGAUGAUUGUUACAUGUCUGGAGCCAUGGACAGAGGAGGAUAACAUAAGUGGGUCAAAAAUAUUGUAAAUGAGGAGUUUAAUUUUAUCUGUUCUAAGUAAAACCCUUAACUCACUGGUAGCUGACGUUCUGUAUAUUUACUCACUUUAUUUGCGGUGGUGUGGCGUUGACACUAUAAACAGUAUGCCCUCUGAUUUUAUUAACAGGCAUUCUUGGAAAUGUAAAAAUCACAACCGAAAGGGAAGAGAAAUGAAAUUUCUAACAGACUUUCUAACAGCAGAUUUUAAAUUGAGGGAAGAUUACUGAUGAUGUGAUCCUGUGACAGGUUUGUCUGUCUCCUGAUUCUGAUGUACACUAUCUAUUUCCUGAAAUUGUUAUAUUUUGUUUUUCUCAAAGUGUGGAUAAUUUUUUUCAUUUUUGAGGUUGUAUUUAGUUUUCUGUAUAAUUCAAAACAUGUAGUUUUUACCCAUGUAUAUGGCAGGAAAAUGAAUACAUACACAAAUCUACAGUAGAGGUUUGAUUUUUGCUUUCCAUAUUCAUUAUGGAACAUUUUCCUCUUUUAUCAACUCUUGGUGAAUAUCUGGUGAUAUAUCAUGUCAAAUCUGUGUAUCCCAUUUUUUUGAGUUUUUUGUAAACAAUGACUUGCUUAGGCUCAAUAAACUGUUAAAAC